AUGAGACGCUGGCGGCGUGCCUAAUACAUGCAAGUCGAACGAGUUCUCGUUGAUGAUCGGUGCUUGCACCGAGAUUCAACAUGGAACGAGUGGCGGACGGGUGAGUAACACGUGGGUAACCUGCCCUUAAGUGGGGGAUAACAUUUGGAAACAGAUGCUAAUACCGCAUAGAUCCAAGAACCGCAUGGUUCUUGGCUGAAAGAUGGCGUAAGCUAUCGCUUUUGGAUGGACCCGCGGCGUAUUAGCUAGUUGGUGAGGUAAUGGCUCACCAAGGCGAUGAUACGUAGCCGAACUGAGAGGUUGAUCGGCCACAUUGGGACUGAGACACGGCCCAAACUCCUACGGGAGGCAGCAGUAGGGAAUCUUCCACAAUGGACGCAAGUCUGAUGGAGCAACGCCGCGUGAGUGAAGAAGGCUUUCGGGUCGUAAAACUCUGUUGUUGGAGAAGAAUGGUCGGCAGAGUAACUGUUGUCGGCGUGACGGUAUCCAACCAGAAAGCCACGGCUAACUACGUGCCAGCAGCCGCGGUAAUACGUAGGUGGCAAGCGUUAUCCGGAUUUAUUGGGCGUAAAGCGAGCGCAGGCGGUUUUUUAAGUCUGAUGUGAAAGCCCUCGGCUUAACCGAGGAAGCGCAUCGGAAACUGGGAAACUUGAGUGCAGAAGAGGACAGUGGAACUCCAUGUGUAGCGGUGAAAUGCGUAGAUAUAUGGAAGAACACCAGUGGCGAAGGCGGCUGUCUGGUCUGUAACUGACGCUGAGGCUCGAAAGCAUGGGUAGCGAACAGGAUUAGAUACCCUGGUAGUCCAUGCCGUAAACGAUGAAUGCUAGGUGUUGGAGGGUUUCCGCCCUUCAGUGCCGCAGCUAACGCAUUAAGCAUUCCGCCUGGGGAGUACGACCGCAAGGUUGAAACUCAAAGGAAUUGACGGGGGCCCGCACAAGCGGUGGAGCAUGUGGUUUAAUUCGAAGCAACGCGAAGAACCUUACCAGGUCUUGACAUCUUUUGAUCACCUGAGAGAUCAGGUUUCCCCUUCGGGGGCAAAAUGACAGGUGGUGCAUGGUUGUCGUCAGCUCGUGUCGUGAGAUGUUGGGUUAAGUCCCGCAACGAGCGCAACCCUUAUGACUAGUUGCCAGCAUUUAGUUGGGCACUCUAGUAAGACUGCCGGUGACAAACCGGAGGAAGGUGGGGAUGACGUCAAAUCAUCAUGCCCCUUAUGACCUGGGCUACACACGUGCUACAAUGGAUGGUACAACGAGUUGCGAGACCGCGAGGUCAAGCUAAUCUCUUAAAGCCAUUCUCAGUUCGGACUGUAGGCUGCAACUCGCCUACACGAAGUCGGAAUCGCUAGUAAUCGCGGAUCAGCACGCCGCGGUGAAUACGUUCCCGGGCCUUGUACACACCGCCCGUCACACCAUGAGAGUUUGUAACACCCGAAGCCGGUGGCGUAACCCUUUUAGGGAGCGAGCCGUCUAAGGUGGGACAAAUG
RNAcentral lists this ribosomal RNA (1483 nucleotides) under Lacticaseibacillus casei. Its description in RNAcentral is "bacterial SSU rRNA". It matches the Rfam family "Bacterial small subunit ribosomal RNA". The record is from RNAcentral. Lineage: Bacteria; Bacillati; Bacillota; Bacilli; Lactobacillales; Lactobacillaceae.